This 598-nucleotide ribosomal RNA is filed under the name Triticum aestivum (bread wheat). RNAcentral describes it as "partial small subunit ribosomal RNA". The record is from RNAcentral. Lineage: Eukaryota; Viridiplantae; Streptophyta; Magnoliopsida; Poales; Poaceae.
ACCGCGCCGCCCGCACCCCGCCCCAACCUGCCCCGCCGCACCCGCGUUGCCCCAACCGGGGCCGCCACAACCUAGCAACCCUGCGCGCCGCCGGUCACCUCCCUCGCGGCCACCUCCCUCCUCCCCAACGGCCGGCGCGUGACCCUCCUCCGCCACGGCCGGCGAGCCUCCUCCAGGCACCACCCUCUGAUCCAGCUGCCGCAGGGCCCCGGGAUCCCCGUGUGCUGUCGCCGGGCCAUGGAUCCCCGGCGCCGCUGCAGGGUCCUGGAUCCCGAGCGCCGUCGCCGGUCCCUGGAUCCCAUCCGCCACCGCUCAUCCAGCGCCAUGCGGAGGCUCCCCGUCCCGAGCUCUACGCGGUCCCGGGCUCCGACUACCAUCCACCGCCAUCGUUGGAUCUCGGAGGUGCCUCCUCCUCCUCCCCCUUGUGCUUCACAGCAGCCGGCGACCUACCUCCCGUGAAGUGCCGAGCACAAUCGUGAAUAAAAAUUCUCCUCUUCCUUUCCUCAUUCUGUGUACAAUGCUGGUACUAUUCUAUUUUUUGAUGAAAAUCACUGUAUUUUGAUUGAUUUCUUUUAUAGCGUGCGUUCUGAAGUUCAUG